This 31-nucleotide non-coding RNA is filed under the name Mus musculus (house mouse). Lineage: Eukaryota; Metazoa; Chordata; Mammalia; Rodentia; Muridae. The record is from RNAcentral.
UGUGACGAGCUGCUGUUCCAAAGGAUGCCUU